CGGGACGUAGCACAGCUUGGUAGUGCACUACCUUGGGGUGGUAGGGGUCGCGCGUUCAAAUCGCGUCGUUCCGACCA
This 77-nucleotide transfer RNA is filed under the name Erysipelothrix sp. Its description in RNAcentral is "tRNA-Pro". RNAcentral also lists the same sequence under 6 other names. Lineage: Bacteria; Bacillati; Bacillota; Erysipelotrichia; Erysipelotrichales; Erysipelotrichaceae. The record is from RNAcentral.